This 253-nucleotide ribosomal RNA is filed under the name uncultured bacterium. RNAcentral's name for it is "partial 16S ribosomal RNA". It matches the Rfam family "Bacterial small subunit ribosomal RNA", at positions 524 to 776 of the family's 1533-position model. The record is from RNAcentral.
UACGGGGGGGGCAAGCGUUGUUCGGAAUUACUGGGCGUAAAGGGCUCGUAGGUGGCCAACUAAGUCAAACGUGAAAUCCCUCGGCUUAACCGGGGAACUGCGUCUGAUACUGGAUGGCUUGAGUUUGGGAGAGGGAUGCGGAAUUCCAGGUGUAGCGGUGAAAUGCGCAGAUAUCAGGAAGAACACCCGUGGCGAAGGCGGCUCUCUGGGACGGUACUGACGCUGAGACGCGAAAGCGUGGGGAGCGAACAGG